This is a long non-coding RNA of Oxyura jamaicensis (ruddy duck), 1096 nucleotides long. RefSeq lists it as uncharacterized. Lineage: Eukaryota; Metazoa; Chordata; Aves; Anseriformes; Anatidae. The record is from RefSeq and is a predicted model, not a curated record. The transcript is spliced from 3 exons.
AACUGGAGCUGUGCUCUGGUGACUGGUGUCUGUAACAGGCUGAUGCUCAUCGUUGCCCUCUCUAAAUCCCAGCAGGUGGAUAUGCACAGUUGCAGCACCUUCCAGUAGACAGCUGGCACCUCUGUUAAAUAUUUGUGGCAAUACGUGAAUGCAGAGAUGACCACAAGAAUGCACUACACAUGCUGUGCUGAGGUUUGAUUUAACUGUCUGAAGCCAAGAGAAGCUCCACAGAGACUGCUGAGGACACGCGCUGCAUAAAGCAGCUUUUGACUACUCCAUGACUCAGAGGAAAACCCAGGACACUCAUUAUAAAAUGUGAUUAUGGGCAGCCUUGUAACAACAACAUCUACUGAUAUGGUCCAUGUAAUUAUUUAACAGGGUCCAGAAACUCCUCGACUAUCCAAAAUAAUCCUCUGUCUGGUUCAGCCUGCUGGCUGAGAGGACAAGUAUCCAGCUGCUUGCACUAAGACCACAGGAAGACUGAGGGGGACUAGAUCUGGUUGCUUUUCCUCCAAACUUCAGCAAGGAUUAUAGCAUGUCUCUGGAUAACAUUCCUAGGAAUAAGCAUAGAAAAUUUGCCAGCUGAGUUCCCACAGAGAUAUGAGCCUGACUUGGAACUUAACACUUGCUCUACCUGCUCCUAUAUGUUCUGCGUAGUGAACAACUUAUUUCUUCAGCAGUUCUUGAAAUCACUUCAAUAUUGUUAUUUGCCAAUAUCACCAGGAGAAACAAAGGCAGAAUUUACCAAUUGCAUUUUGCAGUCAAAGGAAAGAUGGAAGCAAACUAGUAAAGAAAAAGAGAGACAUAGCCCUUUUUAAAAAGGCAUUCACUCAUUUAAGUAACUGAGUGACAUUGCCAGGAGGUACAGGCAUGUAUUGGCAAUCUUGAUGCCUGGCAGGUAAAAAGAGUGGACAUUUUCUUACCCUGUGGAAGUCCUUUAUAGGUCAUGAACUCUAAAUUUAUCAUCAUCAGACACCACACACUGGCUUUUCUUGAAGAAAGAAUGAAUAUAGAACAUUUUCUCAAAGCUUCAUUAUAUUUCACUUAGAACAUGAUUGAACUUCACUGCAAAUGAUAUUUACUCUUCAUAGCCUUG